GCCAGUGUGGCAUAGCAGUUUGAGUGUUGGACUGUGACUCUCUGGAGAGCGGGGUUCAAAUCCCUGCUCAGCCA
Molecule: non-coding RNA, 74 nt
Organism: Phrynosoma platyrhinos (Desert horned lizard)
Lineage: Eukaryota; Metazoa; Chordata; Lepidosauria; Squamata; Phrynosomatidae
Source: the annotation of a GenBank genome assembly